GAUGAACGCUGGCGGCGUGCCUAAUACAUGCCAGUCGAGCGAACGGACGAGAAGCUUGCUUCUCUGAUGUUAGCGGCGGACGGGUGAGAAACACGUGGAUAACCUACCUAUAAGACUGGGAUAACUUCGGGAAACCGGAGCUAAUACCGGAUAAUAUUUUGAACCGCAUGGUUCAAAAGUAAAAGACGGUCUUGCUGUCACUUAUAGAUGGAUCCGCGCUGCAUUAGCUAGUUGGUAAGGUAACGGCUUACCAAGGCAACGAUGCAUAGCCGACCUGAGAGGGUGAUCGGCCACACUGGAACUGAGACACGGUCCAGACUCCUACGGGAGGCAGCAGUAGGGAAUCUUCCGCAAUGGGCGAAAGCCUGACGGAGCAACGCCGCGUGAGUGAUGAAGGUCUUCGGAUCGUAAAACUCUGUUAUUAGGGAAGAACAUAUGUGUAAGUAACUGUGCACAUCUUGACGGUACCUAAUCAGAAAGCCACGGCUAACUACGUG
Molecule: ribosomal RNA, 497 nt
Filed under: uncultured bacterium
Lineage: Bacteria
Description: partial 16S ribosomal RNA
Rfam family: Bacterial small subunit ribosomal RNA
Source: RNAcentral